Molecule: long non-coding RNA, 386 nt
Organism: Solanum lycopersicum (tomato)
Lineage: Eukaryota; Viridiplantae; Streptophyta; Magnoliopsida; Solanales; Solanaceae
Source: RefSeq, a predicted model, not a curated record
AUAAUUAGUUUUUUAUUCACAAAUCUUUGUCAAUUUUCCGCUUUUUCCUCUCUACCUUUGAUUAUAUUUCUUCACCUGAGAAUGCUUCCUCCUUGGAAUAAUCCAUCCCUCCACCUUCGGUUGCUACGGAAAGAAACAACUAAUAAGAUGUAGGGAAAUGGAAUCUUAAUGUGCCAUGGAGGAUGUACAGGUUUCUAAGGCUUUGAAAAUGAUGUAUUGGUGAAUCCUCAUCGAUUCGAGGACAAUAUCCACAUGUUCCUUUAUGUCUUGUAUGUGCUUAGUUCUUAGUGUUGUUAACUCUAAAGUUUAGAUGGUUCAAGUAGAUAUUGUAAAGAUUUAAUGUGUUAAAUUAAAGUUUUCCGCUUGUAUAAUGUUUAUGAAAGAUU